AGUGAACGCUGGCGGUAGGCCUAACACAUGCAAGUCGAACGGCAGCACAGUAAGAGCUUGCUCUUACGGGUGGCGAGUGGCGGACGGGUGAGGAAUACAUCGGAAUCUACUUUUUCGCGGGGGAUAACGUAGGGAAACUUACGCUAAUACCGCAUACGACCUACGGGUGAAAGCAGGGGAUCUUCGGACCUUGCGCGAUUGAAUGAGCCGAUGUCGGAUUAGCUAGUUGGCGGGGUAAAGGCCCACCAAGGCGACGAUCCGUAGCUGGUCUGAGAGGAUGAUCAGCCACACUGGAACUGAGACACGGUCCAGACUCCUACGGGAGGCAGCAGUGGGAAAUAUUGGACAAUGGGCGCAAGCCUGAUCCAGCCAUACCGCGUGGGUGAAGAAGGCCUUCGGGUUGUAAAGCCCUUUUGUUGGGAAAGAAAAGCAGCAGGUUAAUACCCCGCUGUUCUGACGGUACCCAAAGAAUAAGCACCGGCUAACUUCGUG
Molecule: ribosomal RNA, 492 nt
Filed under: uncultured bacterium
Lineage: Bacteria
Description: partial 16S ribosomal RNA
Rfam family: Bacterial small subunit ribosomal RNA
Source: RNAcentral